This 310-nucleotide unclassified non-coding RNA is filed under the name plant metagenome. RNAcentral describes it as "partial contains 5.8S ribosomal RNA, internal transcribed spacer 2, and large subunit ribosomal RNA". The stretch from base 1 to 105 matches the Rfam family "5.8S ribosomal RNA", at positions 50 to 154 of the family's 154-position model. The record is from RNAcentral.
GAAAUGCGAUAAGUAGUGUGAAUUGCAGAAUUCAGUGAAUCAUCGAAUCUUUGAACGCACAUUGCGCCCAUUGGUAUUCCAUGGGGCAUGCCUGUUCGAGCGUCAUUUGUACCCUCAAGCUCUGCUUGGUGUUGGGUGUUUGUCCCCGUCUCCGCGCGUGGACUCGCCCCAAAGUGAUUGGCAGCCGGCGUACUGGUCCCGGAGCGCAGCACAUGUCGCGCAAACGAGUGCCUUGGUACGGCGGCGUCCAUAAGCCCCUCUCUCACGCUCUUGACCUCGGAUCAGGUAGGGAUACCCGCUGAACUUAAGC